Molecule: long non-coding RNA, 1138 nt
Organism: Erinaceus europaeus (western European hedgehog)
Lineage: Eukaryota; Metazoa; Chordata; Mammalia; Eulipotyphla; Erinaceidae
Exons: 3
Source: RefSeq, a predicted model, not a curated record
AGAAAUGUAGGGGGGCCAGGCGGUGAUGCACCUGGUUAAGCGCUCACAUUACAGUGCGCAAGGCUCAAGCCCCUGGCCCCCACCUCAGGGGGAAAGCUUCACAAGUGGUGAAGCAGGGCUGCAGGUGUCUCUCUGUCUCUCUUCCUCUCUAUCUCCCCUUCCUCUCUCAAUUUCUCUCUGUCUCUAUCUAUACAAUAAUAAAGAAAUAAAUUAAAUUAAAAAAAAAUAAAAUCCAGAAAAGUGAAACUUAAAGGACAGACUAAAGUUUGACUAAUUACUAGACUUAAUGGUUUAGUAAUAGGAAUUCCAGAAAAAUAAAGGGAUAGAAGAAAACUAAAGAUUUGAUUAUUUAGAUUACCCUGUCCUUUGUGGAUUUAAUGAAAAGACACAUAAGGAAGUGUUCUGGAGGAAAAGUAAAGAGAAUAACCUGAGGACACAUUAAAGCAGGACCUUCCAAGCCAGAGGGAAAAAAGGUGGGAAGUCUGCUGGGAGCUAUACAGUGACGCAGGUGUGAAGCACCAGUGAAAAGCGUAGCAGAAGAAAAAAAAAAUCAAAAUAGUGGAGUGGAGAUGAUAUUCCAUGAAAAUGCUCACUACAAGCCCUGCAGAAGUGAUGCCGUCACCAAGUUGCAGAUGCUACCAUGACACCAACCUGACUUCUCUGGGAAGAUGACAUCACCAAUGUGUCCUGGAAUCUCACCUCUCCAGUGCCCUACCCCACUAGGGAAAGAGAGAGACAGGCUGGGAAUAUGGAUCAACCUGCCAAUGCCAUGUCCAGCAGAGAGCAGUUACAGAAGCCAGACUUUCCACCUUCUACCCCAUAAUGUUGCUGGGUCCAUCUUCCCAGAGGGAUAAAGAAUAGGAAAGCUUCCAAUGGAGGGGGGUGGGAUACAGAACUCUAUAGUGUUUGGAAUUGUGUGGGAUUGUACCCUUCUUAUCCUAUGGUCUUGUCUAUCAUUAUUAAAUCGAUUAAAAAAAAGAAGUUCACAGUUUAAAUUCAUUUAUGUUGCACAUAUUAGCUUUUCACUGGCAGCUAAACCUAUAAAAACUAUAUGAAUUUGUGUGGUCUGGGCGGUGGCAGUGGAUAAAGCAAGGACUCUCAAGCAUGAGGUCUUGAGUUCAAACACCGGCAGCACAUA